AAACCAGCACCUCAAGUGGUCAGGAUGAUUAUUGGGCCUAAAGCAUCCGUAGCCUGCUCUGUAAGUUUUCGGUUAAAUCUGUACGCUUAACGUACAGGCUGUCGGGAAUACUGCAGAGCUAGGGAGUGGGAGAGGUAGACGGUACUCGGGAGGAAGUGGUAAAAUGCUUUGAUCUCUCGAUGACCACCUGUGGCGAAGGCGGUCUACCAGAACACGUCCGACGGUGAGGGAUGAAAGCUGGGGGAGCAAACCGGAUUAGAAACCCCGGUAGUCC
Molecule: ribosomal RNA, 274 nt
Filed under: uncultured bacterium
Lineage: Bacteria
Description: partial 16S ribosomal RNA
Rfam family: Archaeal small subunit ribosomal RNA
Source: RNAcentral